GUGUCAGCAGCCGCGGUAAUACGGAGGGGGUUAGCGUUGUUCGGAAUUACUGGGCGUAAAGCGCGCGUAGGCGGAUUGGAAAGUUGGGGGUGAAAUCCCGGGGCUCAACCCCGGAACUGCCUCCAAAACUAUCAGUCUAGAGUUCGAGAGAGGUGAGUGGAACUCCGAGUGUAGAGGUGAAAUUCGUAGAUAUUCGGAAGAACACCAGUGGCGAAGGCGGCUCACUGGCUCGAUACUGACGCUGAGGUGCGAAAGUGUGGGGAGCAAACAGGAUUAGAUACCCUGGUAGUCCACACCGUAAACGAUGAAUGCCAGACGUCGGGCAGCAUGCUGUUCGGUGUCACACCUAACGGAUUAAGCAUUCCGCCUGGGGAGUACGGUCGCAAGAUUAAAACUUAAAUGAAUUGACGGGG
Molecule: ribosomal RNA, 413 nt
Filed under: uncultured prokaryote
Description: bacterial SSU rRNA
Rfam family: Bacterial small subunit ribosomal RNA
Source: RNAcentral